RNAcentral lists this ribosomal RNA (468 nucleotides) under uncultured bacterium. RNAcentral's name for it is "partial 16S ribosomal RNA". It matches the Rfam family "Bacterial small subunit ribosomal RNA", at positions 28 to 507 of the family's 1533-position model. The record is from RNAcentral.
GACGAACGCUGGCGGCGUGCUUAACACAUGCAAGUCGAACGGAAAGGCCCUGCUUUUGUGGGGUGCUCGAGUGGCGAACGGGUGAGUAACACGUGAGUAACCUGCCCUUGACUUUGGGAUAACUUCAGGAAACUGGGGCUAAUACCGGAUAGGAGCUCCUGCUGCAUGGUGGGGGUUGGAAAGUUUCGGCGGUUGGGGAUGGACUGGCGGCUUAUCAGCUUGUUGGUGGGGUAGUGGCUUACCCAGGGUUUGACGGGUAGCCGGCCUGAGAGGGUGAACGGGCACAUUGGUACUGAGAGACGGCCCAGACUCCUACGGGAGGCAGCAGUGGGGAAUCUUGCACAGUGGGCGGGAGCCUGAUGCAGCAACGCCGUGUGCGGGAUGACGGCCUUCGGGGUGUAAACCGCUUUCGCCUGUGACGAAGCGUGAGUGACGGUAAUGGGUAAAGAAGCACCGGCUAACUACGUG